AUUUCGUUCUCGGUGAUUGGGCAUAGUGAUUUUGAUGCAUCGCCUGAUCUCAUUCUCACACAGGAUAUCAAUGGGGUGAAUGCCGGUACUCAACCUAUUGAUGCACAUGGACAUGAUGACUCUCUAGCAUUUAUGGACCAACCAACCUGUAAUCAUGGACCUUAUUGUCUUGUAGACCAUUUGGCGUUUCGAGUGUUUUGGAGCUUGCACUUUGUGCAUGUAGAUACAAACUUUUGUGUUCUGGACCAUCUGAAGUCUCUCAUAGUAACCAAUAGUCCUUA
This is a long non-coding RNA of Hordeum vulgare subsp. vulgare (domesticated barley), 281 nucleotides long. RefSeq lists it as uncharacterized. The record is from RefSeq and is a predicted model, not a curated record. The transcript is spliced from 2 exons. Lineage: Eukaryota; Viridiplantae; Streptophyta; Magnoliopsida; Poales; Poaceae.